UAAGCAUAUCAAUAAGCGGAGGAAAAGAAACCAACAGGGAUUGCCCUAGUAACGGCGAGUGAAGCGGCAACAGCUCAAAUUUGAAAUCUGGCUGUCGGGCCCGAGUUGUAAUUUGUAGAGGAUACUUUUGAUGCGGUGCCUUCCGAGUUCCCUGGAACGGGACGCCAUAGAGGGUGAGAGCCCCGUCUGGUUGGAUGCCAAAUCUCUGUAAAGUUCCUUCGACGAGUCGAGUAGUUUGGGAAUGCUGCUCUAAAUGGGAGGUAUAUGUCUUCUAAAGCUAAAUACCGGCCAGAGACCGAUAGCGCACAAGUAGAGUGAUCGAAAGAUGAAAAGCACUUUGAAAAGAGAGUUAAAAAGUACGUGAAAUUGUUGAAAGGGAAGCGUUUAUGACCAGACUUGGGCUUGGUUAAUCAUCUGGGGUUCUCCCCAGUGCACUUUUCCAGUCCAGGCCAGCAUCAGUUUUCCCCGGGGGAUAAAGACUUCGGGAAUGUGGCUCUCUUCGGGGAGUGUUAUAGCCCGUUGUGUAAUACCCCGGGGGGGACUGAGGUUCGCGCAUCUGCAAGGAUGCUGGCGUAAUGGUCAUCAACGACCCGUCUUGAAACACGGACCAAGGAGUCGUCUUCGUAUGCGAGUGUUCGGGUGUCAAACCCCUACGCGUAAUGAAAGUGAACGCAGGUGAGAGCUUCGGCGCAUCAUCGACCGAUCCUGAUGUUCUCGGAUGGAUUUGAGUAAGAGCAUACGGGGCCGGACCCGAAAGAAGGUGAACUAUGCCUGUAUAGGGUGAAGCCAGAGGAAACUCUGGUGGAGGCUCGCAGCGGUUCUGACGUGCAAAUCGAUC
Molecule: ribosomal RNA, 838 nt
Filed under: Fusarium acutatum
Lineage: Eukaryota; Fungi; Ascomycota; Sordariomycetes; Hypocreales; Nectriaceae
Description: LSU rRNA
Rfam family: Eukaryotic large subunit ribosomal RNA
Source: RNAcentral